This 468-nucleotide ribosomal RNA is filed under the name uncultured bacterium. Its description in RNAcentral is "partial 16S ribosomal RNA". It matches the Rfam family "Bacterial small subunit ribosomal RNA", at positions 28 to 507 of the family's 1533-position model. The record is from RNAcentral.
GAUGAACGCUGGCGGCGUGCUUAACACAUGCAAGUCGAACGGAAAGGCCCAAGCUUGCUUGGGUACUCGAGUGGCGAACGGGUGAGUAACACGUGGGUGAUCUGCCCUGCACUUCGGGAUAAGCCUGGGAAACUGGGUCUAAUACCGGAUAGGACCACUUCUUGGAUGUUGUGGUGGAAAGUUUUCUCGGUGUGGGAUGAGCUCGCGGCCUAUCAGCUUGUUGGUGGCGUAAUGGCCUACCAAGGCGUCGACGGGUAGCCGGCCUGAGAGGGUGUACGGCCACAUUGGGACUGAGAUACGGCCCAGACUCCUACGGGAGGCAGCAGUGGGGAAUAUUGCACAAUGGGCGCAAGCCUGAUGCAGCGACGCCGCGUGGGGGAUGACGGCCUUCGGGUUGUAAACUCCUUUCGCUAGGGACGAAGCGUUUUUGUGACGGUACCUGGAGAAGAAGCACCGGCUAACUACGUG